UACAGAGGUCUCAAGCGUUGUUCGGAAUUACUGGGCGUAAAGGGUGCGCAGGCCGCGCGGGCAGUCAAAUGUGUAAUUCAGGGGCUCAACCCCUGGACUGCGCUUGAUACUUCCGUGCUAGAACUUUGGAGAGGAGUCUGGAAUUCUCGGUGUAGCAGUGAAAUGCGUGGAUAUCGAGAAGAACACUAAGGGCGUAAGCAAGACUCUGGACAAAUGUUGACGCUCAUGCACGAAGGCUAGGGGAGCGAACGGG
RNAcentral lists this ribosomal RNA (253 nucleotides) under uncultured bacterium. RNAcentral describes it as "partial 16S ribosomal RNA". It matches the Rfam family "Bacterial small subunit ribosomal RNA", at positions 524 to 776 of the family's 1533-position model. RNAcentral also lists the same sequence under 1 other name. The record is from RNAcentral.